CCGCAGGGGUGCCUCAUGUUAUGCGGCUGAGACGGCACAAGGAAUUUGCCGAACCCUUAGACCUGAUACGGAUAAUGCCGUCGUAGGAAGUUUUUUUAA
Molecule: non-coding RNA, 99 nt
Filed under: bovine gut metagenome
Description: TPP riboswitch (THI element)
Rfam family: TPP riboswitch aptamer (THI element) (bases 4-90)
About the family: Vitamin B(1) in its active form thiamin pyrophosphate (TPP) is an essential coenzyme that is synthesised by coupling of pyrimidine and thiazole moieties in bacteria. The previously detected thiamin-regulatory element, thi box was extended, resulting in a new, highly conserved RNA secondary structure, the THI element, which is widely distributed in eubacteria and also occurs in some archaea.
Source: RNAcentral